UUACCAGGUGCUCAACAUUUUCUAGGGAAAAUGAAUUGUUCAAGCCAGAGAAAAAUAUAAAUAAUAUAUCCUAUUGGAUUUAAACACAAGUGCUGAGAGGGUUUUAGAAAAAAAUUAACCUAAGUUUGAUAUAUUUUUUAGUUUGGAAUAUUUGUAAAAAUAUUCAUAAAUUGGGGAUUUUAAAAAAUUAUACGACUAUGUUUAAAACAUUUUAAGAUAAUAGAAGUACUUCCC
RNAcentral lists this long non-coding RNA (234 nucleotides) under Salvia miltiorrhiza (redroot sage). Its description in RNAcentral is "long non-coding RNA (SMIL_LNC014033)". The record is from RNAcentral. Lineage: Eukaryota; Viridiplantae; Streptophyta; Magnoliopsida; Lamiales; Lamiaceae.